RNAcentral lists this ribosomal RNA (429 nucleotides) under Actinomycetes bacterium. RNAcentral describes it as "Actinobacteria bacterium partial 16S ribosomal RNA". It matches the Rfam family "Bacterial small subunit ribosomal RNA", at positions 355 to 776 of the family's 1533-position model. The record is from RNAcentral. Lineage: Bacteria; Bacillati; Actinomycetota; Actinomycetes.
UAGGGAAUCUUCCGCAAUGGGCGAAAGCCUGACGGAGCAACGCCGCGUGAGUGAUGAAGGUCUUCGGAUCGUAAAACUCUGUUAUUAGGGAAGAACAAAUGUGUAAGUAACUAUGCACGUCUUGACGGUACCUAAUCAGAAAGCCACGGCUAACUACGUGCCAGCAGCCGCGGUAAUACGUAGGUGGCAAGCGUUAUCCGGAAUUAUUGGGCGUAAAGCGCGCGUAGGCGGUUUUUUAAGUCUGAUGUGAAAGCCCACGGCUCAACCGUGGGGGGUCAUUGGAAACUGGUAAACUUGAGUGCAGAAGAGGAAAGUGGAAUUCCAUGUGUAGCGGUGAAAUGCGCAGAGAUAUGGAGGAACACCAGUGGCGAAGGCGACUUUCUGGUCUGUAACUGACGCUGAUGUGCGAAAGCGUGGGGAUCAAACAGG